GACAGAGGUGCCGAGCGUUAGGCGGAAUCACUGGGCUUAAAGCGUGUGUAGGCGGGCGGGCAAGUACCUUGUGAAAUCCCACGGCUCAACCGUGGAACGGCUGGGUAUACUGCCUGUCUUGAGCCAACUAGGGGCGAGCGGAACAGACGGUGGAGCGGUGAAAUGCGUAGCUAUCGUUUGGAACGCCAAUGGUGAAAACAACUUGCUGGGGGUGUGCUGACGCUGAGACACGAAAGCCAGGGGAGCAAACGGG
Molecule: ribosomal RNA, 253 nt
Filed under: uncultured bacterium
Lineage: Bacteria
Description: partial 16S ribosomal RNA
Rfam family: Bacterial small subunit ribosomal RNA
Source: RNAcentral